This 253-nucleotide unclassified non-coding RNA is filed under the name Borreliella garinii. RNAcentral's name for it is "partial miscellaneous RNA". The record is from RNAcentral. Lineage: Bacteria; Pseudomonadati; Spirochaetota; Spirochaetia; Spirochaetales; Borreliaceae.
CUGCGAGUUCGCGGGAGAGUAAGUUGUUGCCAGGGUUUUUAUUUUAUACUUUAAACAUUGAUUUUAUUUUUUAUGUUUUUAGAUGUUCAUGUUUUUGAAUGUUUUAUUUAAAUAAUAUAAAAAAUAAAAUAUAUAUUGACAUGGAUUAAACAAAGAUAUAUAUUAUUCUAUGUUGCAUAAACAAAUUGGCAAAAUAGAGAUGGAAGAUAAAAAUAUGGUCAAAGUAAUAAGAGUCUAUGGUGAAUGCCUAGGA